This is a long non-coding RNA of Harpia harpyja (harpy eagle), 1487 nucleotides long. RefSeq lists it as uncharacterized. Lineage: Eukaryota; Metazoa; Chordata; Aves; Accipitriformes; Accipitridae. The transcript has 3 exons. The record is from RefSeq and is a predicted model, not a curated record.
UUCCUUAGCUUUAAAAAAAAUCUGACGUUUGAUUUUAAAGGAAAAAAAAAAAGUCUAAUUCAAUGUAUGUGCAUCUGUCAGCAUAGUGGAAUCUCAUCUUGUUUAGGGCCAAAGGAACACAAGUCAUGAGUUAGAUGACUUUGCAGUGGAAAAAUACAUCUCUUCUCUUUUGCUGCAACACAUUAAAAUACAAAAAGGGAGAACAGGAACAACCUAUAUAGACUGGGAGACUUGAAGAACAAUAUUAAGAGAGAGACAAGAUGAUAGCCAAGGAAUAAAGCCAUACAAAGAAAUGAAACUGGGCCCAGGAUGUGAAGUGUAACACCAGGACUCUGAACUUGCUUCUUUACAGGACAUUAAUGUCAAAUGCUGCACUACAAGUUUUUGUUCCCUCUGAGACUCUGAAGUCAGAGCUGGUUAAGUCAGUACUACCUGUCAUCUCUGCAAAAAUCUCUCCCGGAAAACUCUGCAUUCUGAAGCAAAGAUUGCUGGUUUUUAUAGUCUCCUCUUCUAGGCAUUCAAGGGUAGCUGAACAAACCUAUGUAUCUCCAGGAACUGUUGGCUUCUGACUGUUAACAACCUUCAGGAAGCCAUUACUGACAUCUCUGCUACAAAAGCUGUGCUGGCAGGGAAGGUCUUAGCUGUCAGCUUCUGCCAUUGUGCAUGAGAGGUAUUAUUUAAGCAACAGCAGAGUGUCAUUUCCCUGUGGCCUGAAGCUAUACUGAAGAAGGGGGACCCUAGCUGGCCUUGAGACACACUAGAAAGUCAUCUUCUGGUUCACAAUUAAUGGUAUGAAAAGGGUCACUUUUAGAGUGACGGUGGAGCAAGAGAAAACAGACUGAACUGAUUGUGGGAAAAGCCUUCAAACAACUGAAUCCCCAAAUUUGUAUGACUGGGAAUUGUAGGCGGGUUGAUGAAGCCCCAAAUGGCUGGGAAAGAAAUCCGUUCUUAAACAGAUGUUGACUUUGGCAUCACAACUUAUGCAUAAAAUGAAUCCUAUCUUUCUCCUUCAGUUUUGCUAGCAGUUACAGUCGCCAGCUGAGACACUAUGGGAAGAAAAGAUACUGUUGAGUUUUACUGUCUACUGUUGAAUUUUACUGUCUACAGAGCAAAUUCUAUAUGCACACAUAUAAAUUACUCUCAUUUCCUUGGGAAGAUGAAAUAUUUAGAGGUGUAAAAUAAAUGUGUAAAAGGUUUUAAUUUCGUAUGAGUUACAUCGUCAAUUAGCUGAAGCAGUGAAAAAGAAAACAGCUUUAUGAUUUCAGCACGUUACAUAAAACACUCAUUUGACAGGCUAAUGCAGAGCUGGUCUGAAAUAGACGACUUAGAGGCCUACUGAAGGAGAAAGUAAAGUUUUACAAGAUUUACACCUACCUAGACAAAUACAUUAUGGAGAUACUUUUAAAAUACCUUCUGUUUGAAGCCAUUCUGGCUUUAAUGGCUUCAGAGGUCUUACAGAAAAAGUUAGCUACCUACGAACAGCCAUC